AGCAAAAGGAUGCGUUUUGUUUUUUAGUGACCAUAUUAUGGCACUGAUUGUUUUAUUUGAAAAUAUGUUGCUCAUAAAAGUCCAGCUAUCACUCGGAAAUAAGAUCUGGAGACCACAAUUACUACAAGAAACGCUGCCUAAGAAACGAGAAGUGCCUGGGGUGCCCUGCGAGAGGUGGCUCUGCGCUUCCCUCAGAUUCACUUAUCAUGCAACAUAGGCGUCCGUAGCCAUGAUGUCUCGCUCAAGCACAAGUGGCCCACACAGUCCCCUCUGCUUCGAAGGUGCGCACCUAUGUCUUUCUUUGGGCCUCCUGUGGCACGCCGACAACGCUCCUUUCUGCCACCAGUGGGACUCGGG
Penaeus chinensis is the source of this 357-nucleotide long non-coding RNA. RefSeq lists it as uncharacterized. The transcript is spliced from 3 exons. NCBI's taxonomy places the organism in Eukaryota, Metazoa, Arthropoda, Malacostraca, Decapoda, Penaeidae. The record is from RefSeq and is a predicted model, not a curated record.